Molecule: unclassified non-coding RNA, 288 nt
Filed under: fungal sp.
Lineage: Eukaryota; Fungi
Description: partial internal transcribed spacer region
Rfam family: Eukaryotic small subunit ribosomal RNA (bases 1-46)
Source: RNAcentral
AAGUCGUAACAAGGUUUCCGUAGGUGAACCUGCGGAAGGAUCAUUAAAGAUUUUGUUUUUUGGGGUUUUUCCUGAAAAAUUAUUCACCUUUUGUGCAUUGUUAUUAGAUAUACUUUGGUUAGAGCUUUGAUUUCAUUCAUUGGAAUCAACUUCUUGCUGACUCUAUCCUUUCAGAGGACAGUUGGCUAUGAAGCGGCCUACCAAGGUUUUUUAUCAAACACAUUUAAUUUAUCUGACCUAAAACAAAUAAUUAAAUCAUAACUUUCAACAACGGAUCUCUUGGCUCUC